Molecule: ribosomal RNA, 386 nt
Filed under: uncultured Caryophanaceae bacterium
Lineage: Bacteria; Bacillati; Bacillota; Bacilli; Caryophanales; Caryophanaceae
Description: bacterial SSU rRNA
Rfam family: Bacterial small subunit ribosomal RNA
Source: RNAcentral
ACCAGGUCUUGACAUCCCAGUGACCGCUCUAGAGAUAGAGUUUUCCCUUCGGGGACAUUGGUGACAGGUGGUGCAUGGUUGUCGUCAGCUCGUGUCGUGAGAUGUUGGGUUAAGUCCCGCAACGAGCGCAACCCUUAAUCUUAGUUGCCAUCAUUUAGUUGGGCACUCUAAGGUGACUGCCGGUGACAAACCGGAGGAAGGUGGGGAUGACGUCAAAUCAUCAUGCCCCUUAUGACCUGGGCUACACACGUGCUACAAUGGACGGUACAAAGAGUCGCUAACUCGCGAGAGUACGCUAAUCUCAUAAAACCGUUCUCAGUUCGGAUUGUAGGCUGCAACUCGCCUACAUGAAGCCGGAAUCGCUAGUAAUCGCGGAUCAGCAUGCC